GAUCCUGGCUCAGGACGAACGCUGGCGGCGCGCCUAACACAUGCAAGUCGAACGAGAGAUGAGGAGCUUGCUCUUCAAAUCGAGUGGCGAACGGGUGAGUAACGCGUGAGGAACCUGCCUCAAAGAGGGGGGACAACAGUUGGAAACGACUGCUAAUACCGCAUAAGCCCACGGCUCGGCAUCGAGCAGAGGAAAGGAAGUGAUCCGCCUUUGUAGAUGGCCUCGCGUCCGAUUAG
RNAcentral lists this ribosomal RNA (236 nucleotides) under uncultured bacterium. RNAcentral's name for it is "partial 16S ribosomal RNA". It matches the Rfam family "Bacterial small subunit ribosomal RNA", at positions 15 to 244 of the family's 1533-position model. The record is from RNAcentral.